CACAAUUCAAAAACCGAGAGAAAGUAUUCCGAUGCAUUCAAAGAAAACCAUCAACCAAUACUAAACCUAAACAAAGAUUUGGGACUAUCAAACAAAAUAGAUUUGGAACAACCGGGAGCUAGUUCAAAUACUGUUUCAAAUAAUCACUCACAUUCUGUAGGACCUAGUUCUUCAUUUAGCAAUUUUCGGUACAAUGAACCACGUAGUAAUUUAUAUGCCUCAACACCAACUUUCUCACGUAAUAUUUUCCUAAAGAACAAUCCCAGACACAACGUAAUCCCUGCUGGAGAAGAAUAUUUCAAUUUAUUUAGAGGAAUUUACGAUCCAAUGUUGCCAUUGUGUAAUAUACAUAUGAUGGAGAAUAAAUCUUUUAGAGCAACGGGUAUGAAUGUGGAAUUUGAAGGGAUCGGUUUUGACUUGCGCCUUAUGAGGAAUAUGGAUAGCAGUUCGCAGGAUGAAUUGGAGAGCGAAGCUGAAGAAAAUGUUAAGAAAAUAAUUCACUUAUACCCAGGAGAUAACAGAAAACGCCGGAGAAGACAUUAAGGGAAAACCCUUGAGCAAACGAGCUCCUCUGAGGAAAUGGCUUUGAGGCAUUGGUUCCAUACACAACCAAAUUAAAUUCAACAUUCUAGAAAUGCAAAGACUUCUGUACUAUGUCUUUGUAGAAUUAUGAUAUCUAAUACUUUUUUUACUGAAGGCACCACCUUCACUUUGUUACAUUACUUUAUUUUCGCUAAAACAUUGUUUUCUUACCAACUUGACAGCUUUACUUUGCUAAUGUAAAGUACAAUUUUGGCAUCUCUCUGAAUAGGUUUCAUAAUUUGUUUUAGUUUGCCUUACCUUUCCUCAAAGGUGAGCACAGAAUGCCUGGGCCAAAUAAAUGCAUACAUACACACCUGUGAUGACUUUAUUCUUUAGUCACUUGUUUGUUUGCUGGAUACCACCAAAUGUUUAACACGUACGGCUGCCACAUUAACUACGAACCCGAAGACCUUUUAUAUAAUUACCUCACUCGAUUGGAAGCCUAAUAUAUUCUAAAACGCAUUACGCUCCCACCACGAGAAGAUGAAUAAAUUUUGAUAAAAUUUACUGAGUAAGUUUGAACUCUUAAGAAAUGUCACAGGUUCCUUUUUAUUAUUUGCUAAAUACCAAAUAACUCCAGGUCGAAGUAGCGUGCAAAGGCUAGUAAAAAAACAAACAAGAAAUACGCCAAUAUGAGAAGUUUAUUGUAAUUAUUUACAAUGUUUUUAACUAUUACAUUAACCUAAUCAAUAAAGAUUUAAGGCUUAUAUGAUAACGUGUACUUUGAAUUACCAUAUUUGUGUAAAGAAAAACAUUAACAAAAACUGUUAAGCUGAGUUUAAUUGUUAACACAGCUCUUUUCGUUAUAAUAAAAGUAACACCUCGCUUACUGUUCAUUGUAUUUUAUUUGUGAAGCUAUGUAGAUUAUUGCAAUUUCCAUUUUAUAUGCAACAAUGCACAUUGGUCACGAGUGAUGACAAAGGGACCAGUAAUAAGCAACCAUACAUGUUGGUAAUUUUAUUUUUAGUAAGUUUUUUCUUACUUGAAAAUAACAAUACUGAAAUUUUGGCACGAAAAAUUUUAAAAUGAAAAUUCUUUCGAUGUAGAAAUGACACGGCAACAACCAUCGAACAAUGGUUAUGCUGUAAUGAAAUUGUUUAUUUGUUCUCCCAGUAAAAAAAAUACAUCUUAAAUUAUAGUAAGUGAGGCAUUACAUUUAAGGAAUGUGAAUUUAUUUGAUCAUGCAUCGUCAAACCUUUAGAGACUGUUUAAAUAAAUAUAAAAUCUAAAAAAAGGGUAAAAAUAUAACUAUGCCAUCGUUACAUCGAUACGAUUUAGAAAUAAAAAAAUGCCUUGAACAUAACUUACUCUACAUAAUAUAAUAUCUACGUCAAACGAAAACAAAAUGACC
Manduca sexta (tobacco hornworm) is the source of this 1933-nucleotide long non-coding RNA. RefSeq lists it as uncharacterized. The transcript has 2 exons. NCBI's taxonomy places the organism in Eukaryota, Metazoa, Arthropoda, Insecta, Lepidoptera, Sphingidae. The record is from RefSeq and is a predicted model, not a curated record.